UCCGGCAUGGUCUAGUGGCUAGGAUACUUGGGUCUCACCCGGGAGGCCCGGGUUCGAUUCCCGGUGUCGGAA
This 72-nucleotide transfer RNA is filed under the name Rhipicephalus microplus (southern cattle tick). Its description in RNAcentral is "tRNA-Glu". It matches the Rfam family "tRNA". From Rfam's summary of the family: Transfer RNA (tRNA) molecules are approximately 80 nucleotides in length. Lineage: Eukaryota; Metazoa; Arthropoda; Arachnida; Ixodida; Ixodidae. The record is from Rfam by way of RNAcentral.